GGCAGAGAAAAAAUGUCAAAAAAAAGCAGUCUUUCCAGAUGUUUACCAGGAGUUUGAAGAGCUCCAUUCAAUGGUAAAGAAAAUGUAUCAAGAUUAUUUUAAUAAUUCUGAAUUAAAGCAACCAUUAGAAAUAAAAAAUCAUAAGGUAGCUGAAUCACUAGGAAUUACAGAUUGUUGUCUUGAAGUGACAAAGAUACAGACAAAUUCUUUUCCUGAAUGUACUGAAUCUACUGAUGAGCCUAUAUUGCUCCAUAUCUCAGGACAGAAAUGAGCAGCUGAGGUAUAAAAUAAACAAAUUUUGUCAUGAACUGUACAGCAAAAAUUAUUCUGCAAAAAUAUGGGGGAAAAAUAUGAAUUGCUCCAAUCAAGAAUUGUGGAAGAUAAAUACAGAUUUAUGUGAUCGACACACUCAAGAAAAAUUGAAUAUUUACAGCCUUUAAGUACACCAAGAUUAGAUUAUUUGAGAUGCCCAACGGACCAUAGAGGACAUUCACAAGAAGAACAAAGAUAAAGUCAAGUUGGGACACAGUAAACAAAAUGACUUAUUAUAUCUCUUGAAACAUCUGAAAAAUACAGUCAUCGUUCUCCUUGAUUUCUUCAUGAAAAAACAGUGAAAAUAAAAUAUAUCAAGAACUUAAGAAAAAAUGCUGU
RNAcentral lists this long non-coding RNA (651 nucleotides) under Notechis scutatus (mainland tiger snake). RNAcentral describes it as "lncRNA (ENSNSUG00000011143.1)". Lineage: Eukaryota; Metazoa; Chordata; Lepidosauria; Squamata; Elapidae. The record is from RNAcentral.